RNAcentral lists this long non-coding RNA (4278 nucleotides) under Sus scrofa (pig). RNAcentral's name for it is "lncRNA (ENSSSCG00040044807.1, ENSSSCG00160015136.1, ENSSSCG00180021379.1)". The record is from RNAcentral. Lineage: Eukaryota; Metazoa; Chordata; Mammalia; Artiodactyla; Suidae.
AUAAUAAGUGUUUGUUGAAAAGAUCAUAAAUUCCUUGACCUUCUCCAGGCUCUGGGGCUCCUGGGGAGCUGCGAUUCUGAAGCUCCCAGUUCAGGUCCUGUGCCAUCUGGCUCUGGUCUAAUGAAGGUUCAGUGACCCCUGGCUUCUGGGUACUAAACCUCUGUGUUUAUACUUCUCCCCUCUGUGAAAGCUCGAACUAUCUACUGAGCCGCCAGGUCACUCACCUUAAAUGUUAGCGGCGCGUGGAAAGCAGGCAGGCAGGGACACGUAGGGAACAACACAGAGAGGCCUUGCAUUGGUUCCCUGUGGCUUCUGUGACCAAUGACCACAAACGUAGUGCCUUAAAGUAACACAGAUGUCCUCUGUCAUGGUGCUGGACAGAAGAGUGUGAAAUGGGCUUCACUGGGCUGAAAUCAAGGUGUCAGCAGGGCUGUGUUCUUUCUAGCACCUCUGGCAGAACAUCUGUUUCCUUGCCUUUUCCAGCUUCUAGGGGCUUAUGGCCCCAUCACCCGUCUUCAAAGCCAGCUGUCCGGCAUCUUCAAAUCUAUAUAGCAUCGCUCUGACACCGUGCUUCAUCACUGCAUCCCUGACUCUUUUAAGGACCCCUGUAAUUACACUGGACUCACUGAGAUGAUCCAGAAUAAUCUCCCCAUCGAAGUUUUUGCCAUUCAUAGGCUCCGGGGAUUAGGAUGUGGGUGUCUUUGGGGGACCGUUAUUCUGUCUCCCACAGGCCUCUUGGAAAGGCAGUUGCCUGAAGUCUUGUAGAAAGACCCAGAGGACAGAGGGCUUUAAAUCAUAGAGCCCAUCAUGGACUGAGAUGGGACUCAAAUGCUAGUCUAGGAUCCCUGGUCUUUCCAUGGUGCUUGAAUCUGAGGCUGAACUUUAGAGGGUGGGUGGGGAUCCUUGUAGUGCAAAUCAUAGCCUUCCUAGAGAGGAAGCAAUGAGACAGCCCAGACGGCUUUAGAAGGAGUGACUAAAAAAUUAUAGACACUGUAUAUUGGGCUUUACUUUGUAUAAAGAUUACGGUGAGUGGUUAAAGGCCUUACUUCACAAAAUCAUUUGCAAAACACUAUGCAGUAGGGACAAUUAUGCGGUCCAUUCUACAGCUAAGAAGACCAAGGCUAAGGGAGGUUAAAUAAUUUGCUCAAAAAAGCAAUGAAGCCACAUGCAAUAUGAGGUCGGUCUGACUUCAGAACUCAGGUUCUCAGUGACUGGUACAAAGGAAGGCCACAUGAAACCCUUUCCUGUAGGGAGAAAAUUUUGCUUUUCCUCCUAAUUUACCUGCAAGGCUUGAGUUGAUUCAGCAUCAUUCAGAGGAUAGAACAGAGAUUUAAGGAGAAGGUCCAGGCACAGGGAGGUGAAUAACUUGUCUAAAGUCACACAGUCAGGUAGAGGCAGGGCCAAGAAUAGAAGCCUGAAGCCUCUGUGGAGACCUCUGUGUCAGGGGUUAUUUCUAGUAUGAAAGGGACACUAGGAGAACUGGCUUCUCCAUCGCUCAACCUUCUCUGGAGGCUCGAGAAGGACACACAGAAAGGGGUCACCUGGAUUGAAGGUGGUGGGAUAAAGUCCACCACCAUCACCACAGCCAGCAAAGCCCUCCAUGACGGCCUGCCUCCCGCCUGCCAAGCACAUCUCUGGCUUCCCUCCCCUGGCUUGCCCUGCUCCACCACCCUGGCCUUCUUUCAGUUAUGCCAGUGCCUCCAAAUUCCUUCCAACCUCAGGGCCUGUGCACUUGUUACCUCUCUGCCUAGAACACACUACCCUGGCCUCUUACCUGGCUGACAUCCUCUUGUCAUUCAAACCAGUCACUUCCAAUAUCACCUCCUUGGAGGCCCUCCCUGGCCACCCGAUUGUCACAACACUUACCCACCUGUAUCCAUCACUCUAUGUAACUGUUCUUUUUUGCUUAACUGCACUUAUUACUAUUAGGUUUUCCUAUUCAUUUUCUGGGUUUUUUCUUUUUCUUUUUUUUUUUUUUUUUUUUUUUUUUGUCUUUUUGUUUUAUUAAGGCUGGCAGCUCCAGCUCCAGUUCAACCCCUAGCCUGGGACCCUCACAGGUGUGGCCCUAAAAAGCAAAGUAACUAACUAACUAACGAAAUAAAUAAAUAAGAAAUCAUGUCAUCAGUCGCAUUAACAAAUGGUGUCUUCCAUUCGUCCAGGCACCAGACCUGGAACAGGGGUACAGCAGUGCACAGAGAUGAUACAUUUUCCCAUCAUUCAUUCAAUGAUUAUUUACUAGGUAUACACUGAGAGGGCCAGACCCUGGGUUGGGUGCAGGGAAGGUUGAGAGUGAUAAGGUGCAAUCUCUGCCUUAUAACCUUGUAGUUAAGAACAUGAGCUGGGAGUUCAAAUCCCAGACCUACCCUCUCGUAGCUGGGUGCCCUUGGGCACGUCGACCCAACUCUGUGUUUUAGUUUCUGUGUCUGUAAAAUAGGGAUAAUAGUAGCACCUAUCUUACAGGGCUGCUGUUAUUAAGUGACCAAAAUGUUAGGUCUUAGGAAUAGUAUUUACUAAGUGCUCAGUGAAUGUCAGCUGUCAUUAUUAGUAAUAAGUCUCCUCUUCAAUCAGGGAGACAAACAGGCCAAAUCUCAUAAUAUGAUACCAUCUGUAGUGAAUGAAGAGUUAUGGAACCAUGGAGUAGAGAACAAAACAUGCAAACUUUUUCUUGCUGCAUCAGGUUUCACAUGAAAGGGAUUUUGGGGAGUCGGGGUAGGAGGAGGUGGGAGGAACCCUCAGCAAAGGGAACAAUAUACAUCUUAUGCUGCAUAAUAAGCUACCUCAAACCUUAAUGCUGCUCCACAUUUUCUUCUGCUGCUCCACAAGGUGUUAACUGGAAUCCUUGAUGGCCCUUGUCUGAUCUGGAGGCUCCAAGAGCCUAAGAAGAAGUUAUGAGCCCUCUUCAAAGGCUAGACCAAGAAUUGGCAUAAUGUCACUUUCACCAUACUCUAUUUGUCAAAACAGUCACAGGCCAGCCCAGAUUCAGGGGAGGUGAAAUAGAUCUCACCUCUCAAUGAGCGAAGUGUCAAAGUAGCAUCUUUAAUCUGCACCACCAGGUUAAAAAUCCUGCUCCCUAAAGUGGCAUAUUUUCCUAGAGGGCUCCCUGGUCCCUCAUGCAAAUGGACUUCUGGCAGGCUACCCCAUCCAUCUGCCAAACAAGCCACACAUGUCAAAAUAUUAGCACGAACAUGACUUAAAUGCCUUCGUUGCAACUCCCUUAUAUUCCCAGGACUGUGCAAAGAUCAAAUGUGAUAAUACAUGUCAAGUCCCCAGUACAGUAACACAUGGUCAGAUAACGUAAAUUCCAUUCCCAUUACCGUUCUGUUUUCACAAAUCAAUAGCAAAUAUGCUCAGAAUUUAAAGAAAGAAGCACUCAUUUUAUAUGGGGUAUUAGGAAAACUUCUGCAGGUCUUAACAAUAAUAGCUAAUAUUUGGUGUCUUCUUGAUGCCAGAUCCUGUGCUAAGUGCCUUACUGGCUAAUCUCAUUUAAUUGAAUCCAAGUCUAUGAAGUAAGUAUUCUUGUUUUCUCAUUUUUCAGAUGAGGAAACUGAGGCUCAGAGACAUUGAAUAACUUCUCCAAGGUUACACGGUAAUCAGUGAUAGAGAUGAACCCAAGCAUCAUAGUUACAGAGCCAUGCUUUUAACCAUCAUAGAAUACUAAUUAUCUAUUGCUGUGUCACAAAUUAUCCCCAUACUUAUCAGCUUAAAAAACAAUGAGCAUUUAUUAUCUCACACAGUAAAGACUUGAGGAGCUGUUUACCUUGGGUGCUGAAGGUCUCUCAUGAGGUUAAAGUCAAAAGUGUCAGCUAGGGCUGCAGUCAUCUGAAGGCUUAUUUCAAGUUGAAGGACCUAGUUCUCAGAUGGCUUGUGCACGUGAUUGACAAGUUGGUGCUGGCUGUUGGCUGGAGGCCCCAGUUCUUCACCAGGUGAACCUCUCCAGAAGGCUGCCUGAGGUCCUCACAGCAUGGCCACUGACUUUCUCUUGCGUGAAUGUUCAAAGAGAGAUCGAUCAACGUAGAAAUUAACAGUUUUUUAAAAAAUGACCUAGCCACAGAGUUUCCAUUGUGGCUCAGCAGGUUAAGAACCCAACAUAGUGUCCGUGAGGAUGCAGGUUCGAUCCCUGGCCUCACUCCAGCAUUGCCACAAAGUGUGGCGUAGAUUGCAGAGGUGGCUUGGAUCUGGCAUUGCUGUGACUGUAGUGUAGGCUGGCACCUGCAGCUCCAAUUUGACUCCAGCCAGGGACCUUCCAUUGUUGUGACUAUGGUCAUAAAAAAAAAAAAA